GACGAACGCUGGCGGCGUGCUUAACACAUGCAAGUCGAACGGAAAGGCCCCUCUGGGGGGGCUCGCGAGGCGAAAACGGGAGUAUAACACGUGUGAGAUCCGCUCGGCACCGGGGGAUAAUCAGGGAAAAGGGGGUCUAACACGAUAGAGAAGCUUGCUUCAUGGUGGGGGUUGGAAAGCUUUUGCGGUGUAGGAUGAACUCGCGGCCUAUCAGCUUGUUGGUGGGGUAGUGGCUUACCAAGGCGUCGACGGGUAGCCGGCCUGAGAGGGCGGACGGCCACAUUGGGACUGAGAUACGGCCCAGACUCCUACGGGAGGCAGCAGUGGGGAAUAUUGCACAAUGGGCGGAAGCCUGAUGCAGCAACGCCGCGUGCGGGAUGACGGCCUUCGGGUUGUAAACCGCUUUCAGCAGGGGCGAAGCUUGUUGUGACGGUACCUACAGAAGAAGCACCGGCUAACUACGUG
Molecule: ribosomal RNA, 465 nt
Filed under: uncultured bacterium
Lineage: Bacteria
Description: partial 16S ribosomal RNA
Rfam family: Bacterial small subunit ribosomal RNA
Source: RNAcentral